Molecule: ribosomal RNA, 468 nt
Filed under: uncultured bacterium
Lineage: Bacteria
Description: partial 16S ribosomal RNA
Rfam family: Bacterial small subunit ribosomal RNA
Source: RNAcentral
GACGAACGCUGGCGGCGUGCUUAACACAUGCAAGUCGAACGGACAGGCCCUGCUUUUGUUGGUUGCUCGAUUGGCGAACGGGUGAGUAACACGUGAGUAACCUGCCCUUGACUUUGGGAUAACUUCAGGAAACUGGGGCUAAUACCCCAUAGGAUCUUCUGCUGCAUGGUGUGGGUUGGAAAGUUUCGGCGGUUGUGGAUUGACUCGCGGCUUAUCAGCUUGUUGGUGUGGUAGUGGCUUACCAAGGCUUUGACGGGUAGCCGGCCUGCGAGGGUUAACGGACACAAUGGGACUGAGAUACGGCGCAGAAGCCUACGGGAGGCAGCAGUGGGGAAUAUUGCAGAAUGGGCGGAAGACUGAGGCAGCAACGCCGAGUGCGGGAUGACGGACUACGGGUUGUAAACAGAUGUGGACGGUGACGAAGCGUGAGUGACGGUAAUGGGUAAAAAAGCAACGGCUAACUACGUG